AUUCAACGCCGGACAUCUCACCAGGAGCGACAGCUGUAUGAUUACCAGGCUGAUGACCUUGUUUGACUAGCUGAGAGGAGGUGCAUGGCCGCCGUCAGCUCGUACCGUGAGGCGUCCUGUUAAGUCAGGCAACGAGCGAGACCCAA
RNAcentral lists this ribosomal RNA (146 nucleotides) under uncultured rumen archaeon. RNAcentral describes it as "partial 16S ribosomal RNA". It matches the Rfam family "Archaeal small subunit ribosomal RNA", at positions 910 to 1055 of the family's 1478-position model. The record is from RNAcentral.